Non-coding RNA from Macaca mulatta (Rhesus monkey), 1907 nucleotides. The record is from RefSeq and is a predicted model, not a curated record. Lineage: Eukaryota; Metazoa; Chordata; Mammalia; Primates; Cercopithecidae.
AUGCAGGCACACGGGAAGCCAGUUGUACACGGAGGCGAAGCGUUGUUCAGACCCUGCUGCCAUGUUAACUAUGGUGAAGGCACAGUUGACCACUGGAAGAGUCCUUCAGUGUGGGGGCCUUCAUCGGUCUUGGCAAGCACCAAUUUUCAUGGAGACGGGAAAAGUGUGAAAGAAUUGUUUGGAGAGGAAGGAAAGAAGUUGUGGACUGGAGACAUUUCCAGUGCUCAGGCACGCAGGGCUCCACAGAGUUAUCUACAUUUGCUGUCCCUUGGAGCAGCAGAGAAGAAAACGGUUGGGACAUAUUCUGAACAGACUGUAGAGCUGAAUCGCGCAGAAUUUGAAGAUCAAGAUGAUGAAGCCAGAGUUCAGUAUGAGGGUUUUCGACCUGGGAUGUACGUCCGCGUUGAGAUUGAAAAUGUUCCCUGUGAAUUUGUGCAGAACUUUGACCCCCAUUACUCCAUUAUCCUGGGUGGCUUGGGCAACAGUGAGGGAAAUGUUGGAUACGUGCAGAUGCGUCUGAAGAAACAUCGCUGGUAUAAGAAAAUCCUCAAGUCCCGAGAUCCAAUCAUAUUUUCUGUAGGGUGGAGGAGGUUUCAGACCAUCCCACUCUAUUAUAUCGAAGACCACAAUGGAAGACAAAGGCUUCUAAAGUAUACGCCACAGCACAUGCAUUGCGGAGCAGCCUUUUGGGGGCCUAUCACUCCACAGGGAACUGGUUUCUUGGCAAUACAGUCUGUCAGUGGAAGAAUUAUAAUGCCUGAUUUUCGGAUAGCUGCCACAGGAGUUGUCCUUGAUCUGGAUAAAUCCAUAAAAAUUGUGAAGAAAUUAAAGCUAACUGGUUUUCCAUAUAAAAUUUUCAAGAAUACUUCAUUUAUUAAGGGAAUGUUUAAUUCUGCCUUGGAAGUAGCCAAAUUUGAAGGUGCUGUGAUUCGAACUGUCAGUGGGAUAAGGGGGCAGAUCAAGAAAGCGCUCUGAGCUCCAGAAGGAGCUUUCCGGGCCAGCUUUCAGGAUAAGCUGCUGAUGAGUGAUAUUGUCUUCAUGCAAACUUGGUAUCCUGUUUCCAUCCCAGCCUUCUAUAACCCAGUAGCAUCUUUGUUGAAACCCAGUGGGUGAGAAAGACACCUGGUCAGGAAUGUGGACCACCAGCCAACUCGGGCUUACCCAUGGCGUCAGACUAAAGGCGAACAAGGACUCUCUGUGUAAGCCAGUCCUAAGGCAAUCCUGAGGCAAAAAUUCACUGCAGAUUCCAAAAGCCUCGCAGAAGGCCCUGACAUUUAAGAACAAGCCCAAGAACCAAGCAAAGGCAGGCAAGGUGCCGAAGAACAGGUGGAGACCGGCCGUCAUACGCGAGCCUCAUGAAAGACAGAUCCUCGCACUGCUGGAUGCUCUGAGUACGGUGCACAGUCAGAAGAUGAAGAAGGCCAAGGAGCAGCAGCACCUGCACAAUAAGGAGCACUUCAGAGCCAAGCAGAAGGAGGAGGAGGAGAAGCUGAAGCGGCAGAAGGACCUCAGGAAGAAGCUCUUCCGAAUUCAGGGGGAGAAGGAAAGAAGCAACCAGAAGUCCAGUUUGAAGGGGGCUGAGGGCCAGUUGCAGUAAGCCUUUGGACUGGAGGGACUGUCCCUGGAUCUGCGGAGGUGCACGGUUUCAAACAUCACAGUUUGAAUGCCUGUGAAUGACAAGUCAGUGGGCAAGAGCCCAAGAGAUGUCUCUACCCAAACUGUGCCUGCAAGAGGAGGAACGGAGAAGCCUGGACUGCUGGGACUGGGUUCGUUCUCACCACCUGGGGCUGUCGAGAUUUAAAGUGAUGUAAGCUGUGGUUAUGUGGAUUCUCUUACUUUCCUCUGCCUGCCUCAGUUUAAUUAUUUUGUGCUACAAAACUAUCAUUACAAUUUUUUUUUGUUAGUUU